AGCGUGAAAUGUUGGAGCAAAAAAUGGACGACCUACUGAGUCAUCAGAGACAAUUUGUCGAAAAUAAUCGUCGGUCCUUAGAACAGAAAAGAAAAGAAAAGGAAAAGUCUUCUACAUUUCUACGACGUGUUUCAUCAGCUACAUGACUUACUGACAGGGGAUCUGCCGUGCGACCAGAUAAACCAGGACUUGCAGCAAGCCAACGAUGCUCUACGAGCAGAACUCAACAAAGAAAUGGAGGAAAAAAACCUUCUUCGCUGCCAGUCUGAUAAAAAAUCUCAAGAAAUCCAUCAGCUGCAAGAAGAACUGAAAACAGCUAAACAGUUUCUGAAGGAGACCCAGAAUUAUGCGGAAGAGAUGAAAACUAGACAAUCUGAAGGCUU
Long non-coding RNA from Mauremys reevesii (Reeves's turtle), 383 nucleotides. RefSeq lists it as uncharacterized. The transcript is spliced from 4 exons. Lineage: Eukaryota; Metazoa; Chordata; Testudines; Geoemydidae. The record is from RefSeq and is a predicted model, not a curated record.